This 173-nucleotide ribosomal RNA is filed under the name uncultured bacterium. RNAcentral describes it as "partial 16S ribosomal RNA". It matches the Rfam family "Bacterial small subunit ribosomal RNA", at positions 340 to 493 of the family's 1533-position model. The record is from RNAcentral.
UACGGGAGGCAGCAGUGGGGAAUUUUGGACAAUGGGGGCAACCCUGAUCCAGCCAUUGCCGCGUGAUGUGAAAGAAAGGCCCUUCGGGUUGUAAAAGCUACUUUACAGCUGGAACCGAAAGCGGUAUCGCUCUAAACAUCGUGUGCUAAUGACCGUACCCGCAAAAGCCGUCC